UACGGAGGGUGCGAGCGUUAUCCGGAAUCACUGGGCGUAAAGGGCACGUAGGCGGUUUGUUAAGUCUGAUGUUAAAGACUGGGGCUCAACCCCGGCAAUGGCGUUGGAUACUGGCAGGCUUGACGGUUGGAGAGGCGAGUGGAAUUGCCAGUGUAGCGGUGGAAUGCGUAGAUACUGGUAGGAACACCUAUUGCGAAGGCAGCUCGCUGGACAACACGUGACACUGAGGCGCGAAAGUGUGGGGAGCAAACCGGAUUAGAUACCCCGGUA
RNAcentral lists this ribosomal RNA (270 nucleotides) under uncultured prokaryote. RNAcentral's name for it is "partial 16S ribosomal RNA". It matches the Rfam family "Bacterial small subunit ribosomal RNA", at positions 524 to 792 of the family's 1533-position model. The record is from RNAcentral.